ACCUGCCAUCGUCUUUCCAUGAAGAGGGUUCCCUAUUUCUCCAGAGUCUGCAACCGCACACGUUCUACCAACAGCAUACCAGAAGGUAGAUCUUGACUCAGAGGUACUUGACCUGCCAUCGUCUUUCCACGAAGAGGGUUCCCCUAUUUCUCCAGAGUCUGCAACCGCACACGUUCUACCAACAGCAUACCAGAAGGUAGAUCUUGACUCAGAGGUACUUGACCUGCCAUCGUCUUUCCACGAAGAGGGUUCCCCUAUCUCCAGAGUCUGCAACCGCACACGUUCUACCAACAGCAUACCAGAAGGUAGACCUUGACUCAGAGGUACUUAACCUCCCAUCGUCUUUCCACGAAGAGGGUUCCCCUAUUUCUCCAGAGUCUGCAACCGCACACGUUCUACCAACAGCAUACCAGAAGGUAGACCUUGACUCAGAGGUACUUGACCUGCCAUUAUCGUUGAGGAAGAGGGUUCCCCUAUUUCUCAAGAGUCUACCAACAGCGGACCAGAAGGUGGAUCUUGAGUCGUCUUUCUAUAAAUAGGGUUCCCCACUGUCCCCCUGAGUAAGCCACAGCUCUUGUGAUCCUCACGGGUUAUGAAUAGCUAUAUAGCUAUUACGAAAGCUGGACUGUCUAGUCACACAAAUAUCUUUAGUGUCAAAGGUCAGAAGGAAUAGUUUUAUUAAAAAAAAAAGAUACACAUAAGACCACUCAAAACGAUUUUUUUCCGGCUACUUGCAUUUAUAAUCUCAAAAUGUGUUGACAAUGCAAAUAAAUUAUAGAAAUUGA
This is a long non-coding RNA of Homarus americanus (American lobster), 785 nucleotides long. RefSeq lists it as uncharacterized. The record is from RefSeq and is a predicted model, not a curated record. The transcript is spliced from 2 exons. NCBI's taxonomy places the organism in Eukaryota, Metazoa, Arthropoda, Malacostraca, Decapoda, Nephropidae.